This is a long non-coding RNA of Hemicordylus capensis (graceful crag lizard), 1429 nucleotides long. RefSeq lists it as uncharacterized. The transcript has 3 exons. NCBI's taxonomy places the organism in Eukaryota, Metazoa, Chordata, Lepidosauria, Squamata, Cordylidae. The record is from RefSeq and is a predicted model, not a curated record.
GCUGCGUGGGAGCUGUUCCAACAGCCAGGCUCCAGAAGUCCACGGGAGAGGUGGAGUUUGGGGCCUUCUGGCUUAAAAAGGACUGAGGCAGGCUGGAAGUACAGUCACUGGUGCAGGCUACCUCCAGGUGGCCUCCAAAAGGAGCUUUAAAAGGACUGAGGCAGGCCAGAAGUACAGUCGCUGGUGCAGGCCACCGGCAGGUGGCCUCCAAAAGGAGCCAGCCUUUGGUGGUGGCCUUCAGAGGUGGGACCAGGGCCAACUUACCAUCUUGGACAGCUGGAAGGAAGACUCCUGCACCCCUCACUGUUGUCUAGUACCUAGUUAGCCCUGGUAUAGGUAUGUGUUUUGAGUUGAACAGGGAUAGCAAGGAGCAGCUAUAGUGGUGUGGAAUUGAUGAAGAUAUGGUAUUGGUAGGCCAGCAGUCCAUUAGAGGGAAGGGAAUUCAUAAAUUUAAUUGCUGUUUUCUCUUCCAGCAGGCCUACCAUCUCUUUGACCUUGGAAAGCAAUGCCAACCACCCAUAGAACCUCACCCUAUUACUCUGUAAUGACAGAUUGAGGCAGUGGCUAGGAGCACUUUUUAUCAGCUUCGACUGAUACGUCAGCUCAGCUAUGUCCAUUUCUGGAGCAGGAAUAUCUGGCAGUAAUUGCCAGGUGUUGCAGAGUAUGACCUCUUUCAAACUAGAAAUGUGUGAGGAGAUGUGGGAGUAUGAACAUUCCACUCAUCUUUCACCUCAUAACUUCAGGGAAUAUGAGCUUUGUAUAGUAUUGCAUAGCAUUAGCCUACCCAUUAGGCAAAUACGACAUUUAUCCAGGGUACUGCUCCUGAACAUUUUUAAAGGUACCAGCUGUUCCAGACUGCUCCAUACCUCCUACCUUCCCCUGCCCUGCGCCCACCUAAUUAUCACUUGAACCACUUACAGAGGUAAUGGAGUCAAUAAGACACAGAGCCAUGUAUAUUCAAAGAGGUGCAGAGCUCUGUAGGUAGAAGCGGUGCGGAACUGGACUUCUGUCUCUAAAGCCUCAAUACUUAGGACCAAUCCUCUCUUGGAAGGGGAUUGCAAUAAAGAACAAUGAAUGUACUUGUUACUUAAGCUCCUGAGCCUGACCUGCAACCAUUUAAGGGGUUCCAGGCUCUGUAGGAUCCAGUCAUAACCCUCAGGCAUGGCAUUAGCUAGGAAGUAUCCUUGGUUCACCUGCAGUCAGCCUCAAACUCCUAAUCUCAAAGCCAAUGAGUACUGACACUGCCUGACUUUCCCUUCAUCGCCAUUUCCUACAGUAAGUGGACUUUUGCAUAAUUUUAUAUUGCAGUACACUUUAGAAGCCGCUGUUACAAUGGAAAAUGGAAAAGACCAUACUAUAGUUCCUCUACUUUUCUUGUAGGGAUGUGCGAACAGGUUCAGUGUCGAACCUGUUCAGUUCAAUCGUCCGG